Molecule: ribosomal RNA, 299 nt
Filed under: uncultured bacterium
Lineage: Bacteria
Description: partial 16S ribosomal RNA
Rfam family: Bacterial small subunit ribosomal RNA
Source: RNAcentral
GGUAGUCCACGCCGUAAACGAUGGCCACUCGGCCUUUGGGGGCGGAAUCUCCGUCGCUGGGGGCCUUAGCUAACGCGGGAAGUGGCCCGCCUGGGAACUACGAGCGCAAGCUUAAAACUCAAAGGAAUUGACGGGGCCCGCACAAGCAGCGGAGCGUGUGGUUUAAUUCGACGCAACGCGCAGAACCUUACCCAGGUUUGACAUGCCCCUGCACGCCGCUGAAAGGCGGCCGCCUUCGAGGGUGGGGCACAGAUGCUGCAUGGCUGUCGUCAGCUCGUGCCGUGAGAUGUUGGGUUAAG